CCUACGGGUGGCAGCAGUGAGGAAUAUUGGUCAAUGGGCGCGAGCCUGAACCAGCCAAGUCGCGUGAGGGAAGACGGUCCUAUGGAUUGUACACCUCUUUUGUCGGGGAGCAAAAGACGCCACGCGUGGCGUUCCGCGAGUACCCGAAGAAAAAGCAUCGGCUAACUCCGUGCCAGCAGCCGCGGUAAUACGGAGGAUGCGAGCGUUAUCCGGAUUUAUUGGGUUAAAAGGGGGCGCAGGCGGAAGAUCAAGGCAGCGGUAAAAGUGAGGGGCUCAACCUGUUCGAGCCUUUGAAACUGGUUUUCUUGAGUGGGCGAGAAGUAUGCGGAAUGCGUGGUGUAGCGGUGAAAUGCAUAGAUAUCAGGCAGAACUCCGAUGGCGAAGGCAGCAUACCGGCGCUUAACUGACGCUCAUGCACGAAAGUGUGGGUAUCGAACAGGAUUAGAUACCCGGGUAGUC
This 459-nucleotide ribosomal RNA is filed under the name uncultured bacterium. RNAcentral's name for it is "partial 16S ribosomal RNA". It matches the Rfam family "Bacterial small subunit ribosomal RNA", at positions 338 to 795 of the family's 1533-position model. The record is from RNAcentral.